Molecule: ribosomal RNA, 119 nt
Filed under: Cercocebus atys (sooty mangabey)
Lineage: Eukaryota; Metazoa; Chordata; Mammalia; Primates; Cercopithecidae
Source: RNAcentral
AUUUAUGACCAUACCUCCCUAACCAACCCUGAUCUCAUCUGAUCUUGGAAGCUAAGCAAGGUUGGGCCUGGUUAGUACUAGAGUGCGAGGCUAUCUGGUAAUACCAGAUGCUGUAGGCU